RNAcentral lists this ribosomal RNA (453 nucleotides) under uncultured organism. Its description in RNAcentral is "partial 16S ribosomal RNA". It matches the Rfam family "Bacterial small subunit ribosomal RNA", at positions 331 to 800 of the family's 1533-position model. The record is from RNAcentral.
GUACACUCCUGCGGGAGGCAGCAGUGGGGAAUAUUGGACAAUGGGCGAAAGCCUGAUCCAGCAAUGCCGCGUGAGUGAUGAAGGCCUUAGGGUUGUAAAGCUCUUUUACCCGGGAUGAUAAUGACAGUACCGGGAGAAUAAGCCCCGGCUAACUCCGUGCCAGCAGCCGCGGUAAUACGGAGGGGGCUAGCGUUGUUCGGAAUUACUGGGCGUAAAGCGCGCGUAGGCGGCUUUGUAAGUUAGAGGUGAAAGCCCGGAGCUCAACUUCGGAAUUGCCUUUAAGACUGCAUCGCUAGAAUCGUGGAGAGGUGAGUGGAAUUCCGAGUGUAGAGGUGAAAUUCGUAGAUAUUCGGAAGAACACCAGUGGCGAAGGCGACUCACUGGACACGUAUUGACGCUGAGGUGCGAAAGCGUGGGGAGCAAACAGGAUUAGAAACCCCUGUAGUCCCAUGA